UACAGAGGUCUCAACCGUUGUUCGGAUUCAUUGGGCGUAAAGGGUGCGUAGGCGGUCGUGCAAGUCGGAUGUGAAAUCUCAGGGCUCGAACCCUGAAACUGCAUUCGAUACUGCGCGGCUAGAGUGCUGGAGGGGAGACUGGAAUUUACGGUGUAGCAGUGAAAUGCGUAGAUAUGUGGAGGAAUACCGAUGGCGAAGGCAGCCCCCUGGGAUAACACUGACGCUCAUGCACGAAAGCGUGGGGAGCAAACAGG
Molecule: ribosomal RNA, 254 nt
Filed under: uncultured bacterium
Lineage: Bacteria
Description: partial 16S ribosomal RNA
Rfam family: Bacterial small subunit ribosomal RNA
Source: RNAcentral